UUCCAUUACUUUUUUUCUAACUUCUCCCUGACUAUUGAACCACAUGCAAAAGUUUUCACCUUUAGUAAAGACAGGUGGAUUAAUAUACUCCAAAUAGCACAGGUUGGAAUACCUGGGUUUGAACCCUGCUCUUAGCCGUAGAAGACUAAGUAUUUAUAUAAAGUGCAGAUAAUGGUAUCUACCUCACAGCUGUUCAGAAUAAGGGGUGAUGGGGGAGAGGAAGCCACAUAAAGCCCAGAGUACAUGGCACACAAAGUUAGUACAAAAAGUAGUAAUUUCCAGAAUGAGCUCCCAGGCCGGGCACAGUGGCUCAUGCCUGUAAUCCAGCACUUUGGGAGGCCGAGGCAGGUGGA
RNAcentral lists this long non-coding RNA (353 nucleotides) under Homo sapiens (human). RNAcentral describes it as "HSALNT0231926". Lineage: Eukaryota; Metazoa; Chordata; Mammalia; Primates; Hominidae. The record is from RNAcentral.